This is a long non-coding RNA of Rhopalosiphum padi (bird cherry-oat aphid), 2305 nucleotides long. RefSeq lists it as uncharacterized. NCBI's taxonomy places the organism in Eukaryota, Metazoa, Arthropoda, Insecta, Hemiptera, Aphididae. The transcript is spliced from 3 exons. The record is from RefSeq and is a predicted model, not a curated record.
AUCGCAUUGACCUACUUGUUUCUAUAUUUACGACUAAAAAGAAAAUUUUGAACAUGGGUGACAGAAUUGCGGUUUCUAGAUAGUUUUAUUUGCAGAGAAAAUUAUCAAAAAAAAAAAGAAAUGUUCGUUAAUGAGGCGGAGGAAAGAAAAAAAUAUUUUAAUUCUACAGGGAAGAAACAUAUUUUUUCAAUGGCUAUUUAAAAUUUGUUCUCAUAUGUGGUAGCUAUUAACUAAAUUAUUAUUAUAAUCGAGUUUAAUUUCAAGUUUAAAUAAGAAGACAAUGAAUAGGUGCAUUAUAAAUUAUAAUAUAAUUAAAUUAGUCAUACUAUACCAACUUUCUGGGAAACUUUUUUGAUAGUUUAUAAAUAUAUAUAUAAUUUAUAUUUAAAAUUAUUGCAGAAUGCAGAAAAAAAAUUCGAAAUAAACGACGGGAGCGACGGGUAUGCAUGAGUAAUUCAUAAAUGUUGUCACAGUUAAUUUUCAGAACUAGUAAUAUAUUUAACAUUACACAGGACAAUUCUUUAUAACUAUUAACUAAGAUACAGCUGAAAAAGUAAACAAUUAGUUAAUUUAUAAAGUUCUGUUGUAAAUAUAAAGUAAAAUAGUUAAGUAAAUAAAAGCAUUUAUUAAAUAUUUAAUUGAUAAAAAUAAGAUACCUAUAUUGGUACAAUUUAAAUUAUAUAUUAUAAGCGCCAAUUGGAUACCUAAAUGAAAAAUAUUCGUUACGAUACAUUUGCGGAUUUUCGGAUGUUCGAAGAAUUAAAAUCAAAAUAAUAUAAAUUAUAUACAAUUAUAAAAGAAAAGAAUUUUUAACAGUGUUCUCAUGGUAUUCUUAUAUAUUCAAAAUGUCAAUUAAUAAUUUUAUUUCACUGUAUACAACGCGUACUUCAGUUAAGUUUUUAGAUUUUUCAAAAAUAUUAAAUUAAAUUUGUUUUUAUACGUUACGUGUGUUUUGCUCUAAGUUUAAACGGACGUAUCUGUUGGUGUUGCAAACAUUCUUAGAUGUUGAUAUUUUAUUAUUGAUAUCGUUAGAUUUCGAUUUAUAGAGCUGUUUUGUGGGUAUACAGUGAUAAUGAACAGACAUCGAUACAUAAUAUAUUGAUACGAUCGUGUAUCUGCGUUAUAUCAAAACACGUUAGACCGUGAGAGACUGCACUGUUAUAAAAGUCGUGUGAAAAAUGAAAAUAAAUUUGGGCCAUCCAAACGAAGACAAUUAUUAUUCUCGAGGAACAAGUGGAGAAACUCAGAAACGGGUGUAAAUCUCAUUGUACUGACUACUGAUAACUUGUACACAUUUGUUUUCGACCGAGGAUGACUCGGAUACCGACAAUCAUCAUCAUAUUAUGAUAAUAAUCAUCGUGAGAUAUAAAAAAGGGAAAACGUUCAACAUCUAUAUUAUUAUGUGUAUUAUAUAUGUACGCUUCUUGCUUCUACGACGCACUCAUAAUCAUUAUUGUAUAGUCGGCUUUCAUGAUACCAAUUUAAAAGUUUAUCGCGUUUUGUAUUGGGCAUGGGCAUGAAUUUAUAUAUACCGCGCAGAUACCUAUCAGUAGUCUAAUUAAGAUUUUUAUGCAAACGCGUUUUCUGAAAGGCGGACUGACGUUGUUGUAUUAUAUACUAUGGGUUCUGAUGAAUUGUAGUCUCCAGAGUGGUAGUCGAAAGGAUAUGGAAUUGUAUACCUACAUUGUGAUGGAUUAUUAACUGCGAUGAACUACGAAGCAACCACAUCACUAGUGAUAAUAAUCGAUUACCGUUUGUUACAUACUUAAAUAAUAAAUAUGUAAAUAAUUAAUAUGUCACUUAGAAUUUUACAGAAAUUGUAGAUUAUUAUUUUAAUCUAUGUUUACCUACCGUAUACUUAUAUCAAAACGAACUAUCAUCGGCAUAUAAGAAUAUCGUAAACAGUUUUCAAAAAUGAACAAGUAACCUCUUAAAAGAAACAAAAUAUUUGUGUUUUCGCGUCACAGAUUGCUGUAACAGAUAAAAAAUUAACUGUUAAAGUAUUGAGAAACUUAGCGGAUUUUUUGUUUUCAAUAAGACAAUAAUACACCGUCCAGCAGAGUGACGAUUGAGCCGUGACCUGCACGACCAGCUGCAGUCUGCUAACUAUAUAAAAACGCUACUGCAUCCUGUUUAAUAUUUUGAGCGGAACUAUUUGAUUUUGAUUUUACAAUGAUGUAUAUUUUUAUAUUUUGAAUACACCAUAAGUAGUUGAAUAAUGCUUCAAUCUUGAAGGUUAUUUUAAAUAGUGAAUUGGAUUUAGUUUGUACUUAUUAGUGAGGUAAACAUUUUCGAUUUAUUUUAA